Molecule: transfer RNA, 92 nt
Filed under: Gammaproteobacteria bacterium
Lineage: Bacteria; Pseudomonadati; Pseudomonadota; Gammaproteobacteria
Description: tRNA-Ser
Rfam family: tRNA
About the family: Transfer RNA (tRNA) molecules are approximately 80 nucleotides in length. Their secondary structure includes four short double-helical elements and three loops (D, anti-codon, and T loops).
Source: RNAcentral
GGUGAAGUGGGUGAGUGGCUGAAACCAGUUCCCUGCUAAGGAACCAUACGUGAUUAAGCGUAUCGAGGGUUCGAAUCCCUCCUUCACCGCCA